This 242-nucleotide small RNA is filed under the name Drosophila guanche. Lineage: Eukaryota; Metazoa; Arthropoda; Insecta; Diptera; Drosophilidae. The record is from RNAcentral.
GUUGCCAGCCAGCAAAUGCGGCAGAUUGUGCACCACUUGCAGGGGCAGGCUACUGAGCGGUGGCAAGGCCGCCGUCUGCGACAUAUUGCCCAGCAGCAGUUGUUGCUGGUGUUGCUGCUGUUGUUGCUGUUGCUGCUGCUGCUGCUGUUGUUGCAACAACUGCAGCUGAUUCUGCUGGUGUUGCAGGCCAUGUUGCUGCUGCUGCUGCUGCUGUUGCAGUGCCAAUGCUGGCGGGGGCAUUU